RNAcentral lists this ribosomal RNA (697 nucleotides) under uncultured Bacillota bacterium. Its description in RNAcentral is "bacterial SSU rRNA". It matches the Rfam family "Bacterial small subunit ribosomal RNA", at positions 74 to 761 of the family's 1533-position model. The record is from RNAcentral. Lineage: Bacteria; Bacillati; Bacillota.
UGGAGCUUGCUCCGGACGACCUAGUGGCGAACGGGUGCGUAACACGUGAGAAACCUACCCCGGACUUGGGAAUAACAGCUGGAAACAGCUGCUAAUACCGAAUACCUUCGAAGCGCCGCAUGGCGCAACGAAGAAAGCCUUGUGCGGUCUGGGAGGGUCUCGCGGCCUAUCAGCUAGUUGGUGAGGUAACGGCUCACCAAGGCAACGAUGCGUAGCCGACCUGAGAGGGUGAUCGGCCACACUGGGACUGAGACACGGCCCAGACUCCUACGGGAGGCAGCAGUAGGGAAUCUUCCGCAAUGGACGAAAGUCUGACGGAGCAACGCCGCGUGAACGAUGAAGGCCUUCGGGUCGUAAAGUUCUGUUGUUAGGGAAGAACAAGUACCAGAGUAACUGCUGGUACCUUGACGGUACCUAACCAGAAAGCCACGGCUAACUACGUGCCAGCGGCCGCGGUAAUACGUAGGUGGCAAGCGUUGUCCGGAAUUAUUGGGCGUAAAGCGCGCGCAGGUGGUUUCUUAAGUCUGAUGUGAAAGCCCACGGCUCAACCGUGGAGGGUCAUUGGAAACUGGGGAACUUGAGUGCAGAAGAGGAAAGUGGAAUUCCACGUGUAGCGGUGAAAUGCGUAGAGAUGUGGAGGAACACCAGUGGCGAAGGCGACUUUCUGGUCUGUAACUGACACUGAGGCGCGAAAGCG